This 571-nucleotide ribosomal RNA is filed under the name uncultured bacterium. RNAcentral describes it as "partial 16S ribosomal RNA". It matches the Rfam family "Bacterial small subunit ribosomal RNA", at positions 355 to 919 of the family's 1533-position model. The record is from RNAcentral.
UGGGGAAUUUUGGACAAUGGGCGAAAGCCUGAUCCAGCAAUGCCACGUGUGUGAAGAAGGCCUUCGGGUUGUAAAGCACUUUUGUCCGGAAAGAAAUCCUUGGCUCUAAUACAGUCGGGGGAUGACGGUACCGGAAGAAUAAGCACCGGCUAACUACGUGCCAGCAGCCGCGGUAAUACGUAGGGUGCAAGCGUUAAUCGGAAUUACUGGGCGUAAAGCGUGCGCAGGCGGUUUGCUAAGACCGAUGUGAAAUCCCCGGGCUCAACCUGGGAACUGCAUUGGUGACUGGCAGGCUAGAGUAUGGCAGAGGGGGGUAGAAUUCCACGUGUAGCAGUGAAAUGCGUAGAGAUGUGGAGGAAUACCGAUGGCGAAGGCAGCCCCCUGGGCCAAUACUGACGCUCAUGCACGAAAGCGUGGGGAGCAAACAGGAUUAGAUACCCUGGUAGUCCACGCCCUAAACGAUGUCAACUAGUUGUUGGGGAUUCAUUUCCUUAGUAACGUAGCUAACGCGUGAAGUUGACCGCCUGGGGAGUACGGUCGCAAGAUUAAAACUUAAAUGAAUUGACGGGGU